GGCUUCGUAGCUCAACUGGUAGAGCGUUUGCCGCGUUGAGGCAUGGUGCUUCCGUGGCUGGUUCGAAUCUAGCCGAAGCUC
Molecule: transfer RNA, 81 nt
Filed under: Paragonimus skrjabini miyazakii
Lineage: Eukaryota; Metazoa; Platyhelminthes; Trematoda; Plagiorchiida; Troglotrematidae
Description: Paragonimus miyazakii tRNA
Rfam family: tRNA
About the family: Transfer RNA (tRNA) molecules are approximately 80 nucleotides in length. Their secondary structure includes four short double-helical elements and three loops (D, anti-codon, and T loops). Further hydrogen bonds mediate the characteristic L-shaped molecular structure. tRNAs have two regions of fundamental functional importance: the anti-codon, which is responsible for specific mRNA codon recognition, and the 3' end, to which the tRNAs corresponding amino acid is attached (by aminoacyl-tRNA synthetases). tRNAs cope with the degeneracy of the genetic code in two manners: having more than one tRNA (with a specific anti-codon) for a particular amino acid; and 'wobble' base-pairing, i.e. permitting non-standard base-pairing at the 3rd anti-codon position.
Source: Rfam by way of RNAcentral